CAUGUCACUCAAACCAGCUGUAUUAAGGAAGGUGCAAGCUUUUGGGAUUUCUGUUUGGAUUUAGUUUAGGUUCAAAAGAGCACGCACAGAUCCUGAGUGUUGUCAAGCACCCGUGACUGGGAAACGGAGGCGUCCGAUCCGUAUUGGAGUCAAUUCGCCACUUAAUUGAACACAGCCUCGAAGGGAAGGGCCAUAUUUGUGGGCCUGUCUAACAAUUAAGAGUGACCACAUGGAAUGGGGGAUGAAAGGGUUAAAGAAGAACAAAUAUUGAACACAGCUUUUCUAUGAACAAACUGCAGGCAGCUGCUGCUUUGCAAGAAAAACCCUUUGAAAAGAUUCAGCACGUUGCCAUGGAGAACAUCCCACUGAAGGAAUGUAUAGAAGUAGCAGGGUUAACUGAGUGCCUUCCAUCUUCCCUCCAAGGGAUCUGCAAUGAGAUGGGAGAAGGCAACAGGCUGUGUGGGAACCACUGAAGCUGGGAUGGCAGGGAAAGAACAUCUUAGGCUAACUCUUCAAGCCUUGCUGUCACAUUUGCUUUUGAGUCUAUGGUGUCAGCUGCCUACCAGUUGCUUUCAUCUCUAGAAAUCUGUGACUUGCAGUAUGACAAGAACAAAAGGUGACAAUACAAAGGACAAAGGGCAAGGAAUACAGACGGAGAAGCCGCUUAGAGUCUAGGAUGGCAGAGGUUCUCUUGAUCAUUUCAUUUUUGAGCGCUUGUAGAGCUUUGGUGUACCAGAGGUGCUUGAACAGCUUACCACACCACAGAUGAAUGGCCUUUGGAUUUCUCCUAAGAAAAUGUGGCUACCUGAAAUUCAACUCCAUUUUCUGGUCUUCAAUAUUUCUUUUGUGUUCAGUUUGCCAGCUGAGGAGAAGUGGCUAAGCAUAGCCUGUUACUGAUGCUAAAGCCCAAGUUCUGAACCUAACAACUCCAGCAACAUGAUCCUGUUUCAAGAGACAAAAAAGUGACUAAUGAAAGAAAACAAUUGAUGUGCUAUGUAGAGUUUAAAAGAAGGUAAAGAGAAUAAAUUAAAAGCAACAACUCUCUUCUUGACAA
Molecule: long non-coding RNA, 1054 nt
Filed under: Mus musculus (house mouse)
Lineage: Eukaryota; Metazoa; Chordata; Mammalia; Rodentia; Muridae
Description: predicted gene 14461
Source: RNAcentral